CAAUAGCGUAUAUUUAAGUUGUUGCAGUUAAAAAGCUCGUAGUUGGAUUUCGGGUUGGCUUCAGCGGUCUCGCUUUGCGUUUGUACUGCUGAAGCCUACCUUCUUGUCGGGGACGGGCCUACGGGCUUAAUUGCUUGGGGCCCGGAGUCGACGAUGUUACUUUGAGUAAAUUAGAGUGUUCAAAGCAAGCCUACGCUCUGAAUAUAAUAGCAUGGGAUAACACGACAGGACUCUGGCCUAUCGUGUUGGUCUGUAGGACCAGAGUAAUGAUUAAGAGGGACAGUCGGGGGCAUUCGUAUUCCGUUGUCAGAGGUGAAAUUCUUGGAUUUACGGAAGACGAACAUCUGCGAAAGCAUUUGCCAAGGAUGUUUUCAUUGAUCAAGAACGAAAGUUGGGGGCU
RNAcentral lists this ribosomal RNA (400 nucleotides) under Ulvella sp. ASV_335. Its description in RNAcentral is "SSU rRNA". It matches the Rfam family "Eukaryotic small subunit ribosomal RNA", at positions 592 to 998 of the family's 1831-position model. Lineage: Eukaryota; Viridiplantae; Chlorophyta; Ulvophyceae; Ulvales; Ulvellaceae. The record is from RNAcentral.